RNAcentral lists this long non-coding RNA (6117 nucleotides) under Salmo salar (Atlantic salmon). RNAcentral describes it as "lncRNA (ENSSSAG00000107386.1)". The record is from RNAcentral. Lineage: Eukaryota; Metazoa; Chordata; Actinopteri; Salmoniformes; Salmonidae.
UAUCAAUACACGCAGUCUAAUUAGCGAUGUAAUGUUAUUUUCUAAUCAUGAUUGCAAACAUUGGCUAAACAAGAGGCAGACAAGCAGUCACAUUAGUAGUAUUCGUUUUCAGCGACGAUAUGGCAGCAACUACAAAUAUUAGCUUAAAUCACCCAAAACGCACUUUGAUUUUGCUCCAAUGCAAUGCGUAGCGACUACAUUCUGCUUGUGCAACUGCAAUAUAUGUUAUAACAGACAUAUGUCAUUGAAUGUUCGUUCAAAUCGCCACAGGGUUAUUAUUUCAGCUGAGACAGAGACAUAGGCUACAUCAUCAUGGUUCCGAAGAAGGUGAUAAAUACGAAGAGGAGUGUGUGAGCAGCAGCUAAGUAGAAAGAAAUGUGUCUAAAUAACAUGCGCAUAACGUUAUCCGGAUCCGUAGCUUUGAGAGAGGUUUCCGGGGGCGGGGGUGAAAACUCUUUAUUCGUUUAUUUUAACAUACAUUUAUAUUUUAGUAAUUUAGCAGACACUCUUAUCUAGAGCGGCAUAACAUGUGUUAUAAUACCAUGAAUUUGGAGAGUCAUACAUAAAAGCUGGAACUCCCUUAUAAAGCUUUACCGAACUGGAAGCUUGCCAUUGGCUGGCUUCUUCGAAACCCUCCUGCCCAUUCCCCCGUUUCCUGGACAACCCUGUCAGAGUGGAGAAAAAUAGCAAAUCAUUUCAGCGUUGCAGAUGGGAUGGACACAGAGUGCAGGAGCAAACCACCAAAUAGUAAAUCAGUGUGACUGAGACACAUAAUACCACUCCUUCCCAGUGGCAGUGUCUAUGCAAAAUGGGUUGUGGCAAUUCCUCAGUCGCCAGCACCUCAGGAGGGGGACCUGCAGAAACCUCCAAAGAUUUGUAAGUACAGCAGAGAGAGAGAGAGAGACUAAAUUCAAAAUGGGCUAUUACACUGGCCUUAUGGAUAUUACAUUGCAAGACCUCAAAACACCUACUGUCAUGUAAUCAAAUUAAAAUGUUCAGUCUUUUGUAUCAAGGCCUUCAAAUAUUUUGCCUAUAGCAUAUUAAUGUGUAGAGAAAUGAAUACAUGUUCCAGAACUGCUAUUACAAUGAAUUAGUCCUGUUCAGUAAAUCAAAGGAACAGUCAUUUUCCAUUCAAGGCAAAUUGCAUGAAUUAUGUUAUAAAGGGAACAUACGUCUUCACUAGGCACGGUGAGCCACCUCCAUCAUCGUGGCGUGGGAAGGGAGAGCAGGCACCCAUUUCCAAAACAUUUUCUUGAAUCAACUUGUGUGUGUGUGUGGUGUGUGUGCUUUCUGAUAAACAUCUGAGCAGCUACAGUGCUUAAUCCAGGACCAAUGGGGACUGACAGCAGCACACUGCCAACCACGGCCAGUCAGUCACACAGCUCCCCAGGGUUCAGCACUGCAACACAACACACCUCUAGUCCUGCUACACAGACACUUUGACUGGCAGUUCAUGUGUACACUUAUUUUUUCAUGCCUCUUCUAUGGACAGAGAAGAAAGGUAAAUGUGACAAUGUACAUGACAUAGUCCACUAACCAUUUAACCUACAUUCAUUGUAGGUAGGAAACCAUCCAUAUUGUUGAUUCCCUUUUGAUCAGUGCCCUCACAGUGCCAUACCAAGUAUUUCCCUGCAUAUAACCAAGUCCUCCAGGUCAACUCUAUGUCAAUCACUUGUUUGUGUCAUGUUGGGUGUUAUGUAAAAUAUGUUUGAGCAUUGAGCGUUGUAUCAAGUCCUGUGAGCUGAUCUGUGAUUCUUGUCUCAAUCAGGACAGAUGAGUCCUCACCAGACGAUGAGAAAAGAAGGAACUAUGGCGGGGUGUACGUAGGUCUACCAUCUGACAUGACCACCGUUGCAGGCAGCCAGUCCAAGUCCACAGACAAAAGUAAAUAUGACAUCUAUGUCUACUGUACAGCGUCUGUGUAGUAGGGAUGUGAGGAUGAUUGGACAGGAUGGUCAUCAGUGGAUAGUCAUUGCAAUACAAUUGGUUGUAACGUAGUUGUCAAGUUUUCUACUUGUGUUGACUGUACGGGACAUAUCAGAUGAUCUACCCGUCCUGGACAUGGACACACCCCUCCCCCUUUGCUAUAAAGUAUUGCGUUGUCUGCUGCGUUGAUGCCCAGAAUAGACUAAUUGAUUCCACCAUUAUGUGAUUUCAGUACAGCCUCCAAUCGCUGUCCUUCGAUUAACCAUGGCUUUACAGUAAAAGAGACAACAUCAAGCAAAAAAGGAAAUACUGUACAUGAAAGUCCCUUGAAGACUACAUCUUUCUACCGAUGGACAGUUUUUGUUCUCCGUGUUCAAAGAAAACCCCCACGUCAUCUUCAAACAAAAGUUGGUCUCGGUCAUAAAGGGAGUAGAGAGGAAAAGUUUAGUGUGUGUGUGUGUGAGGGCUGUUUGCACUGAGAUCCUACAAAGCCGUUCUCUAUGACUGCCUGUUGGCCAAAGUUAGCCUCUGAAACUUCAUAAUAACCAAUCCAUUUAUUCUAUUCCUGUCCUCUGGCUCAGUUGCAAAUUUAUAACAUGACUGGGAGGUAUUUGGUUGAACAUUUUAUUGUUUCUAUAGAGCCCUUUGGGAAGGUCACUAUUCUCUGAAUCUGUGUGUGUGUGUGUGUGUGUGUGUGUGUGUGUGUGUCCUAAAAGUGAGUUAAAAGAUAAUCAGCCAAGGACCUUGGUAUGGUGUGUAGAGUCAACUGUCAGCUUCUAUUGACCUUGUUGUUGGUUAUGAGAUGCAGAAAUAACUGCAGAAGUCUAUAAGGUUGUUUGAUGAGCAAAAACAGCCACGGGGAGUCUGCAGAACAUAUGGCAGUUGAUGGUUUAGGAGUUGUGAGACAUCUGAUGCCAGUAGUGUGGCAUCUGUGUCCUUAUUAGAAAGAGAGACUGGGAACCUGAGGGUGGGAAUUCUUGGUAAUGUAGAUUUCCAUGAGGAUGUGGAGGAGCUGUGUGUGUGUGUGUGUGGGAAUAAUAUAAAAGGUUGAAGUAGACAACACAAGGGAAUUUGACUCAAGCCUAAUGUUCACAAUUUUCCUAAUGUUUCUAAUUAUGCCGUCUCUCUUGUUCUCUGUAGACUAACAGAUAUAGAAGGGAAACAUUGACAUGCAUCACAGGACUAAAGCUACAAUAUUCAGAACAUACAGAGACAUUACAUUCCUACGUUGAGAGGAGGAUUACUGACUCAUCCUCACAACCCUGCCUCCGUAAGAGUGAAACAGACUGAAAGACCCUGGGGAAUCAGGCAGAUAUGAGGUCAGCCUGCUUGGGUCCUGAGGAAACUGCCUCAGAAUGGCACCGAGUAGACCCUCAAUAGAUGCCUUUGUCUGAGGAGUCUUUGCCCUUUCUGACCCUCACAGGAAGCCGGGCAGCAGCAGAGAAGUCGGGUGGGUACGGGACGACUGCGGAUAUUGGGACCAACAUUAUGGAAUCCGGGGAAAUGAUCUGGACUAGCUCCUUGUGUUUAGGAAGAGAUGUGACACACACAGCCCAGUCACACAGAGACACCUUCUCGACCGGCUCUGUAAACAUUUAAUCCAAGUGCAUAUAUUGUGGCUGGUGUAGAUAGAUGUUUUAUGUGGUGGGAGGGAUAGUGGACCCACACAGUGGCUCAAACACAAGCAGUGCUAUUCACUUUUAUGGAGUAUUUUAGGUCACCCAGUUUUCAUUUUCUUUUCAGUAUCAGAUACUGUAAAUAAUUUCAGAGAUUCAUGAAAACAACAUUCUAUAACCCAUUUGGAGAUUGUGUUGUGAUAUUUUCUAGUUGGUUGCUGCUAUUUCUUUUUAAACCAUUGCAUUUACUGUCUAAAUACAAAUUGACCUACUUUUGGUACCAAACGGAUGGGGGACCUCCUGUGGGUGUACUGGCUGGUACUGUAGCCUGACUGUACUGUAGCGAGCAUCUGUUGUGUGCGUCAUUCAUGUCUGAGAUUGUUAAGUGUUGUGUUGUGUUGUCAUUUAACCUGUGAAUCAUGCUAACAUGACAUCGUCAGUCUGUAUGGGGCUAAAGAUGCAUUGAGGAUACUACUCUUACAUUUCUUUACCCACAAAGGUCUGAACUGAUCUGAGAUCUGACGUCAUCAGAUUGUUAACAAUGCAUGCAUUAUUACUCCAGGUGCCAGCAGCUGAUCUCAGUGUUCCACAUACAGUAGCUCUUGUUGGCCAUUUUAGCAGCUGCAUCCAGAACUCGUUGUUUUUUACGAAGAGAUAAACUCUCCAACUGCAAUUUGUAAAAUGUUGUCUUUUCUAUUUGUAAAAUUCAAAAAUGAUUCCUUUUGAAAACGAAAUGUACAACUUUUAUUAUAACGGUUAAUUGGAAAGAUGAUCAGUCAAAAAGAAUCUGAACUACAUUGUUUAGCAUAGGUUUGCCUAAACAUAUUUGAAUCUAUAUUUCUCAUUAUGAUCAACUGUAUCAGUGAAUCUAGUUGGAAACCAUAACACAGGCAGCAUAUUCACACACCACAAUAUCUCCCCCAAAGCAUGAAUUAGAAGGGAAUAGAGAAUCCAUCCAAUGUCAUUUAUCUACAUGCAGUUCCUGUUCGUGAUUUAAUGAAUGUAUGAAUGUACAGCAUCUUCACCACCACGACCACAGAGGAACAGGGAAGUAGGCCAUGCUAACCAUAUGCUCACACACUUGAGAUUCAAGAGAUGUUUUAUUCUCUUCAAUACAUCAGUCCGAUUAUAUAUUCUCUACUCCACUCUACCUGGUUUGAGAUAAGAAUAUGGAAUAUACAUAAUAUUUAUAUGGAAUAUACAUAAUAUUUAUAUGGAAUAUAAAUGUAGAUUAUGAAUGCUCCCUGGCGUUCAACCAUCUACUCCGUAAUCUGUGCCAGGCCGCGUGUGAGGUUUAGAAAUGCGAUGGGUACCGAUUAAAGAGCACCCCACAGUUUCUGCUCUGCUACUACACGGCUACCACCGAAAAAUGAAUACAGCCCCUUUUCAUUGAUGUCUACAUUUCCUUUCUGUUGAGGCUCUUCCAGUUUCACCAUCAGAAUCCUCUGGCCUUUGGCUUUCACGGUGCACAGUGCAACGCAGUUCCCACUGGGCAAACACUAGUUGAAUCAACGUUGUUCCACGUCGUUGAAAUUAAUUGGACGUCUGUGCCCAGUGGGUCUGCCUUUUCAUCUGUUCUCUGCUCUAGCCAACUCCUCCACCCUUUACAGACAGUUGUACUGUAACACAAGGGUGAAUGUCACUGAGCUAAUCCUGCUUUAUUCAAUUAGGAAGACUGGGAGGGAAGAGGAUGAAAAAAGGGUAUUCAAAAGCCACACUGGGAAAGGAAAAGUUGCUACAGAAUAUCAACACAGGAGUUGAUAACCAAGCAUAGCUAGCUGUGUACAGAAUGAAUGUAGCUCUUAGGAGGAUGGAGAAAAGGUAUGGGAAAUUGUGUUAAAAAAGCAGCAUCCAUGGAACCCUGGUAUUUUUUACUGUAUUGGGGUUCCUUUAAGCAUUAAGGCAUGAGGGGGGGGCGGUAUAUUGGCCAUAUACCACAGUUACCUUAUUGCUAUUCUAAACUGGUUAUCAACAUAAUUAGAGCAGUAAAAAUAAAUGUUUUGUCAUACCCGUAGUAUACGGUCUGGUAUACCACUGCUGUCAGCCAAUCAGCAUUCAGGGCUCUAACCACCCAGUUUAUAUCAGCAUAUAGCUCAUGGAAGUCUCACUGGUAUACUGUUCAUGGUGCUGCACAUGAUUACGACGACAGGGGAAUUGAUUACUUUGGAGUCAUUUGAGGCUAAAGCAGCUGUGCUGGAGGCUUCUUAUUCUGGAUUUAUCUCCUUGUGUACAUGUGUCCAUAACACAUUUGGGAAAAGAGAAAACACAUGAGAAAACCACUGUAGAUGAUCACUUGAGAACCAAUUGAUGACUUUUUAUGCUAUUUACUACUGUAUGAGAUACUGUUCCUAAUCUUUGAUGCUCCUAACUUGUUCUGGGUCACUUUGUGUACAUACAGUACACCCUUAAACACAGUAAGAAGGAUCACAGCUGCUUUAGAGAGUCAUUCUUGUAUAUAACCCGACAUGCCCUGUAUUACUUGUCCUAUCACUGAUCUAUUUAUGAUUAAAGUAUUUUCUAUUGUCUGUGCACUGCUGUAGUUCUUGAUUGUGGUUUUUGUGAAAUGGAUUUGUGU